Molecule: long non-coding RNA, 530 nt
Organism: Ziziphus jujuba (common jujube)
Lineage: Eukaryota; Viridiplantae; Streptophyta; Magnoliopsida; Rosales; Rhamnaceae
Exons: 2
Source: RefSeq, a predicted model, not a curated record
CACUUUUUUAUAAAUAAAUUCUAGCAAUAACAUUUCGCCAACCCACUUGCUUAUAUAAAUAAAUUCUAACAAUAACAUUUCGCCCACCCACUUGCCUUGAUUCAUACUAUGAAUAAAAGAGAAAAGAGGAUAAGUUGAGCAACAACAUUUCCAAAAUGAAGGCUUCUCUCAUUCUCUGCAUUCUCUUAGCUUCCAUUCUUUCUUUUCCUUCCAUUUAUGCUGGACAAAUUAUAAUAGCUCCUUCAAGACAACCAUAUUGUCGAUUUUACAAGAGAGGUUGCCACAAGACUGUCAACGCACCACCACCAACACCAACGAAAGUGUGCAGUCCAUACGCGCGCGAAUGCCACAACCCACCAGGAAGUACGUAGAGCCUGACUGACUACUAUCCAAAAACUGCCCCUCGCUCUAGCUAGCUAGCUACCAUAUAUGUAUUUGUUUCUUUUAUUAGUUAUUUCUUUGUGACUAGUUUCAGCAGGAGUAUUUGUUUUCUUAUUAAGAUUAAAAUCAGUAAUAUAUUCUUAGGAUAA